RNAcentral lists this ribosomal RNA (1012 nucleotides) under Acinetobacter sp. RNAcentral describes it as "bacterial SSU rRNA". It matches the Rfam family "Bacterial small subunit ribosomal RNA", at positions 56 to 1064 of the family's 1533-position model. The record is from RNAcentral. Lineage: Bacteria; Pseudomonadati; Pseudomonadota; Gammaproteobacteria; Moraxellales; Moraxellaceae.
UGCAAGUCGAGCGGAGUGAUGGUGCUUGCACUAUCACUUAGCGGCGGAAGGGUGAGUAAUGCUUAGGAAUCUGCCUAUUAGUGGGGGACAACAUUUCGAAAGGAAUGCUAAUACCGCAUACGUCCUACGGGAGAAAGCAGGGGAUCUUCGGACCUUGCGCUAAUAGAUGAGCCUAAGUCGGAUUAGCUAGUUGGUGGGGUAAAGGCCUACCAAGGCGACGAUCUGUAGCGGGUCUGAGAGGAUGAUCCGCCACACUGGGACUGAGACACGGCCCAGACUCCUACGGGAGGCAGCAGUGGGGAAUAUUGGACAAUGGGCGCAAGCCUGAUCCAGCCAUGCCGCGUGUGUGAAGAAGGCCUUAUGGUUGUAAAGCACUUUAAGCGAGGAGGAGGCUACUGAAGUUAAUACCUUCAGAUAGUGGACGUUACUCGCAGAAUAAGCACCGGCUAACUCUGUGCCAGCAGCCGCGGUAAUACAGAGGGUGCAAGCGUUAAUCGGAUUUACUGGGCGUAAAGCGCGCGUAGGCGGCUAAUUAAGUCAAAUGUGAAAUCCCCGAGCUUAACUUGGGAAUUGCAUUCGAUACUGGUUAGCUAGAGUGUGGGAGAGGAUGGUAGAAUUCCAGGUGUAGCGGUGAAAUGCGUAGAGAUCUGGAGGAAUACCGAUGGCGAAGGCAGCCAUCUGGCCUAACACUGACGCUUAGGUGCGAAAGCAUGGGGAGCAAACAGGAUUAGAUACCCUGGUAGUCCAUGCCGUAAACGAUGUCUACUAGCCUUUGGGGCCUUUGAGGCUUUAGUGGCGCAGCUAACGCGAUAAGUAGACCGCCGGGGGAGUACGGUCGCAAGACUAAAACUCAAAUGAAUUGACGGGGGCCCGCACAAGCGGUGGAGCAGGUGGUUUAAUUCGAUGCAACGCGAAGAACCUUACCUGGCCUUGACUAGUAGGAACUUUCCCGAGAUGGAUUGGUGCCUUCGGGAACUUACAUACGGUGCUGCAGGGCUGUCGUCAGCUCGUG